This 468-nucleotide ribosomal RNA is filed under the name uncultured bacterium. RNAcentral describes it as "partial 16S ribosomal RNA". It matches the Rfam family "Bacterial small subunit ribosomal RNA", at positions 28 to 507 of the family's 1533-position model. The record is from RNAcentral.
GACGAACGCUGGCGGCGUGCUUAACACAUGCAAGUCGAACGGAAAGGCCCUGCUUUUGUGGGGUGCUCGAGUGGCGAACGGGUGAGUAACACGUGAGUAACCUGCCCUUGACUUUGGGAUAACUUCAGGAAACUGGGGCUAAUACCGGAUAGGAGCUCCUGCUGCAUGGUGGGGGUUGGAAAGUUUCGGCGGUUGGGGAUGGACUCGCGGCUUAUCAGCUUGUUGGUGGGGUAGUGGCUUACCAAGGCUUUGACGGGUAGCCGGCCUGAGAGGGUGACCGGCCACAUUGGGACUGAGAAGCAGACCGGAAUCAUACGGGAGGGAGCAGUGGGGAAUAUUGCAAAAGGGGCGGAAGCCUGAGGCAGCAACGCCGCGUGCAGGAUGACGGCCUUCGGGUUGUAAACCGCUUUCGCCUGUGACGAAGCGUGAGUGACGGUAAUGGGUAAAGAAGCACCGGCUAACUACGUG